AGUAAGGGUUUGCUCAUGUAACCUGUGCCAAUAGAGCUCGUUUGUCAGGUCGGUGCCGUUGUGUUUCAACCUGGCAAAGGGGUCUUGGUUUAGUGUGUGUUUGUCGUGUUUUGUUAUACUGUGCCUGUUUGGUGGUUGUUUCUCAUAUUGAUGUUUGUUGUUUUUUGGUUUGGGCGGCAGUUCAGAUUGUUCACGUGUCAAGCUAGUUUCGUGUGUUUGGGACAUAGUAUUAGGUAUACCUUCAAAGAACAACAUAAAACAUAUCAAUACAGUUAUUAAAAACAGGGUUAAACUUAAAUGGAAAGAACUUAGGUUAACCUGCAUAACGCGCAGGGGCAUAUUUGCCUCUCGAGGCGGCUGCCUUCUUUCUAACUUCGGGCAGCAGGGGUGUGGGUCUCCGCCGACUGUCGGCCUUUAAUGUUAACUAUGCUCCUUGAGCAGUAUUGCUGUAUGGGAGCUAAGUA
This is a non-coding RNA of Pelobates cultripes (western spadefoot toad), 464 nucleotides long. Lineage: Eukaryota; Metazoa; Chordata; Amphibia; Anura; Pelobatidae. The record is from the annotation of a GenBank genome assembly.